CCUACGGGAGGCAGCAGUGAGGAAUAUUGGUCAAUGGACGAGAGUCUGAACCAGCCAAGUAGCGUGAAGGAUGACUGCCCUAUGGUUUGUAAACUUCUUUUAUAUGGGAAUAAAACAGGGUAUGCAUACCCUCUUGUAUGUACCAUAUGAAUAAGCAUCGGCUAACUCCGUGCCAGCAGCCGCGGUAAUACGGAGGAUCCGAGCGUUAUCCGGAUUUAUUGGGUUUAAAGGGUGCGUAGGUGGAUUGUUAAGUCAGUUGUGAAAGUUUGCGGCUCAACCAUAAAAUUGCAGUUGAAACUGGCAGUCUUGAGUACAGGAGAGGUGGGCGGAAUGCGUGGUGUAGCGGUGAAAUGCUUAGAUAUCACGAAGAACUCCGAUUGCGAAGGCAGCUUACUGGACUGCAACUGACACUGAUGCUCGAAAGUGUGGGUAUCAAACAGGAUUAGAUACCCCAGUAGUC
RNAcentral lists this ribosomal RNA (460 nucleotides) under uncultured bacterium. RNAcentral's name for it is "partial 16S ribosomal RNA". It matches the Rfam family "Bacterial small subunit ribosomal RNA", at positions 338 to 795 of the family's 1533-position model. The record is from RNAcentral.